Molecule: ribosomal RNA, 253 nt
Filed under: uncultured bacterium
Lineage: Bacteria
Description: partial 16S ribosomal RNA
Rfam family: Bacterial small subunit ribosomal RNA
Source: RNAcentral
UACGUAGGGGGCAAGCGUUGUCCGGAUUUAUUGGGCGUAAAGAGCGUGUAGGCGGCCAGGUAGGUCAGCUGUGAAAACUCGAGGCUCAACCUCGAGACGUCGGUUGAAACCACCUGGCUAGAGUCCGGAAGAGGAGAGUGGAAUUCCUGGUGUAGCGGUGAAAUGCGCAGAUAUCAGGAGGAACACCGGUGGCGAAGGCGGGUCUCUGGGCAACAACUGACGCUGAGGAGCGAAAGCGUGGGGAGCGAACAGG